UAACACGUAGAUAAUCUAUCCUAUACUGGGGGAUAGCCCGAUGAAAGUUGGAUUAAUACCGCAUAUAGCUAUAUAGUUGCAUGAUUAUGUAGUGAAAGAUUUAUUGGUAUUGGAGGAGUCUGCGGCACAUUAGCUAGUAGGUGAGGUAAAGGCUUACCUAGGCGACGAUGUGUAGCCGGUCUGAGAGGAUGAACGGCCACAAUGGAACUGAGACACGGUCCAUACUCCUACGGGAGGCAGCAGUGGGGAAUAUUGCACAAUGGGGGAAACCCUGAUGCAGCAACGCCGCGUGAGUGAAGAAGGUUUUCGGAUUGUAAAGCUCUGUUAGCAGGGAAGAGGAAGGACGGUACCUGCAGAGGAAGCCACGGCUAACUACGUGCCAGCAGCCGCGGUAAUACGUAGGUGGCAAGCGUUGUUCGGAAUAACUGGGCGUAAAGGAUGCGUAGGCGGUUAAACAAGUUAUAUGUUAAAUAUAUAGGCUUAACCUGUAGAAAGCAUAUAAAACUGUUUAACUAGAGUGCAGGAGAGGUAAGUGGAAUUCCUAGUUGUAGCGGUGAAAUG
This 561-nucleotide ribosomal RNA is filed under the name uncultured bacterium. RNAcentral's name for it is "bacterial SSU rRNA". It matches the Rfam family "Bacterial small subunit ribosomal RNA", at positions 111 to 688 of the family's 1533-position model. The record is from RNAcentral.